GUGGGGAAUAUUGUACAAUGGGCGCAAGCCUGAUGCAGCCAUGCCGCGUGUAUGAAGAAGGCCUUCGGGUUGUAAAGUACUUUCAGCGGGGAGGAAGGCGUUGUGGUUAAUAACCACAGCGAUUGACGUUACCCGCAGAAGAAGCACCGGCUAACUCCGUGCCAGCAGCCGCGGUAAUACGGAGGGUGCAAGCGUUAAUCGGAAUUACUGGGCGUAAAGCGCACGCAGGCGGUCUGUCAAGUCGGAUGUGAAAUCCCCGGGCUCAACCUGGGAACUGCAUUCGAAACUGGCAGGCUAGAGUCUUGUAGAGGGGGGUAGAAUUCCAGGUGUAGCGGUGAAAUGCGUAGAGAUCUGGAGGAAUACCGGUGGCGAAGGCGGCCCCCUGGACAAAGACUGACGCUCAGGUGCGAAAGCGUGGGGAGCAAACAGGAUUAGAUACCCCUGUAGUCC
Molecule: ribosomal RNA, 450 nt
Filed under: uncultured bacterium
Lineage: Bacteria
Description: partial 16S ribosomal RNA
Rfam family: Bacterial small subunit ribosomal RNA
Source: RNAcentral